This is a non-coding RNA of Cinara cedri, 170 nucleotides long. The record is from the annotation of a GenBank genome assembly. Lineage: Eukaryota; Metazoa; Arthropoda; Insecta; Hemiptera; Aphididae.
CCUACAACAGUGGCUGCACCCGUUCCCAGUAUCAGCUCUUUUUUUAAUAAUAAUUGUACGUUAUUCAAAAACUUAAACGUCAAGUUUUUUCAAUAUAAUUGCAUAUAUAUAGAUAAAUAUAUUUUUUUUAAAAAGCUGAUACUGGAGACGAAUGUGGCGACUGUUGUAGG